RNAcentral lists this ribosomal RNA (494 nucleotides) under uncultured bacterium. RNAcentral's name for it is "bacterial SSU rRNA". It matches the Rfam family "Bacterial small subunit ribosomal RNA", at positions 29 to 511 of the family's 1533-position model. The record is from RNAcentral.
AUUGAACGCUGGCGGCAUGCCUUACACAUGCAAGUCGAACGGCAGCAUGGGUGCUUGCACCUGAUGGCGAGUGGCGAACGGGUGAGUAAUGCAUCGGAACGUACCCGGAAGUGGGGGAUAACGUAGCGAAAGUUACGCUAAUACCGCAUAUUCUGUGAGCAGGAAAGCGGGGGAUCGCAAGACCUCGCGCUUCCGGAGCGGCCGAUGUCGGAUUAGCUAGUUGGCGGGGUAAAGGCCCACCAAGGCAACGAUCCGUAGCGGGUCUGAGAGGAUGAUCCGCCACACUGGGACUGAGACACGGCCCAGACUCCUACGGGAGGCAGCAGUGGGGAAUCUUGCGCAAUGGGGGAAACCCUGACGCAGCAACGCCGCGUGAGUGAGGAAGGCCUUCGGUCGUAAAGCGUCUGUCAGAUGGGAAGGAAAUGGGUGGGGCGUAAUAUCGCCCAUCCUUGACGGUACCAUCACGAGGAAGCACCGGCGUAACUCCGUACGCC